This 507-nucleotide ribosomal RNA is filed under the name uncultured bacterium. RNAcentral's name for it is "partial 16S ribosomal RNA". It matches the Rfam family "Bacterial small subunit ribosomal RNA", at positions 28 to 507 of the family's 1533-position model. The record is from RNAcentral.
GACGAACGCUGGCGGCGUGCCUAGUACAUGCAAGUCGAACGCAUUUUCUUUCACCGUAGCUUGCUACACCGAAAGAAAAUGAGUGGCGAACGGGUGAGUAACACGUGGGUAACCUGCCCAUCAGCGGGGGAUAACACUUGGAAACAGGUGCUAAUACCGCAUAAUUCCAUUUACUGCAUGGUAGAUGGAUGAAAGGCGCUUUUGCGUCACUGAUGGAUGGACCCGCGGUGCAUUAGCUAGUUGGUGGGGUAACGGCCUACCAAGGCUGCGAUGCAUAGCCGACCUGAGAGGGUGAUCGGCCACACUGGGACUGAGACACGGCCCAGACUCCUACGGGAGGCAGCAGUAGGGAAUCUUCGGCAAUGGACGCAAGUCUGACCGAGCAACGCCGCGUGAGUGAAGAAGGUUUUCGGAUCGUAAAACUCUGUUGUUAGAAAAGAACAAGGAUGAGAGUGGAAAGUUCAUCCCUUGACGGUAUCUAACCAGAAAGCCACGGCUAACUACGUG